CCCUCUGGCGAAGAAAACCAGACCCUCCACGGCGAGGGACCGGCCAGUGAAUGAUCAGAAUAUUAUCAUCAGUGGAUUCUGAAGCGCGGGCGCUUAUCAGAGAGACAAAGGACGUCGGAGAAUCAAUAUGAUCAUCAACAGAGGCGGAAGAAAGUCUAGACUUGAUUCUCAUGGCAGAAGUACUAAACUAUUCCGGCUGGAAGAAAACUAGAGGAAGAGAACGACCAGACGGAAAUCGCAGCAUUGUAGUAGGAAAGAAGAAACUUAGUUUAUGAAGCCAACUCCGGCAAUUUAUAAAGAGAGAGGCAUUGUUUCCCAAGACAAAAAGCAAUAGAAACGUCAUCAUUCAAAAGACGCGACCCUUCACUGAUGCCCUUUCACGAUACACGAGAAAAUAAAUUACCCAACCAAAAUACGCCACAUAAGGACAACCCCAGCGUCUAGGCCAAGUCAACUCUCCUCUACGACGUUUCUCUGAGAUCCCUCGAACUCAAAAUUUUGACGGAUUCAGGGGACUAUUGUUGGAUAUGGGCACAGAUUAGCAUCAAGGCCCUAUAGUUGACUCGACCCAGUAGAAUAACCACCUCAUGAAAAGGUAAGACGACCCAGCAAGAGCCCAACGCAUCCGUCAGGAUGACCUGACACACGUAACCGAGUGCCAAGAAAGAGAGAGAGAGGCGUUGCAUCCUACUAUGGCGCCGGACAUAGCUCUCAACAACUCUGUCGAACACUGUUCUUAAAUCAGACACGUAAUGAUGAAAGAAGAUGAAGUCGACACGGAGAAAAGUCUAUAAAAAGGGAGCGAGAGAAAGGCAGGAGAACAAGAGAAAAGGCGAAGAGAAUACGGAGAUAAAGAUUAACAUUGGCGACGAGUUAGUCAUUCUGACGACGAGUUCAUUUUUUUUGCAUUUUCUCCUUUCGGCAUUUAGCUCAAACACUUCAAUAAACGAAACUUGUGGAUCCCUAAAUCACUAUUUAUUGUUUGAUUAAGGAUCCAUAAACUCGAUUACCGUUUUUAGGAUUCAACACAGAGCAUAUCCUCACCAAAUCUACUAAACCCCUUCAAAAUCAGCUUCUUCUUAAUCUUCAACGGUAAGUUCCAAACAGACGUUUAUAAGAAGCUUAUUCUCGUCAUCAAAACCUGUUGGAAGUCUGUCUUCUUCCUUGAUAAAAUGAAUAGACUGACUUUUUCGAUUUUUACAGUAGUUUUACCAACCAAACCGUUCGUCGUAGCCGGAUUAAUAGCUAGUUGGAAAACAUGUAAUGAACAUUAUAAUUUAGUAUAUACAAACAAAAAAAUCAAACUAAAUAGAAAAUGAAGCUAUGAAAAAGGCAAGUUGAAAUGAUCAAAAGACAAAAACACAGUCAGCUUUUGUCUCAGCAAAUAUGUGUCGUAUCAUUGAUCAAACAAAGUCUUCAAGGAGAAAGAAGAGACGGCUCCGCGCGCGACGAGCCAAACAGCACUGGGUCAGGGAGACUGUGGCGUAGGGCUACUACUUUUAGGCCAAAUUUCUUUUUUUUUUGUGCUCAUUUUCUUUGAAAGAUCAAUAUGUAUUUUCUUUUAAAUAAUAUGUAGUUCGUGAUACAAAAACACAUAUUCUUUCUACAUGACCAAAUUUUUUAAGAGAAAAGUUCUUGCGGGGGAAGUUUCGUACCUCACCUACAAGAUUUUUGUAAUAUCUCCGCUAACAUGCACACGUGAUGCGGAUGUUACUGAUGUUAUUGAUAUGAACUAAAGCAAAGACUGGAGAAAUUGUGGUGCUUCAAGUAAUGAAACGAAGUGCAGUAAGCAUGUUUCUCUAAGAAAAGUAUGUAUGUAAGAUGUAAUUUAUAUAUAAGAGUUGUGUAUUGCAUCUACGUUUAUAAUAAUAGAUAACCGGUUUAUUGUUAAUGAAAUCGAUAGUAAGAAUAAUGGUUUGUUUAAAUUACCCGAUGUGGUGGUACGAUUUAAAUAUGACAUCAUCAGUUUAUUUAUUAAUCAGCGUAUAACUAAUGUCACAUGUAACUCUCUAGUAAUGGGUCUGAAAAUUAAAAACGACUUGAAAACGGUAGAUAUAUUUUUGGACUUCAUUUUAAUAGAGUAGAUGAUUUAUUAUUUUCAUUUUAGGUACUAAUAAUCAAUACUAUUAAAAGGGAAGGAGUUCUAAAAAAUCUACCUAUGAAAUGUUGUUGCACCCUUUUAUUUUUUAGCCCAACAAAUUACAUAUUCUAAAUAUUAUAACUAAUCCAUAUUAUAUCAACAAGAAAAUAUCUUCUAACAAUUAAAUAAAACCUAUAAUUAAAUAAAACCUAUUUUGUUCCAAGCCCCAUUACAUAUUUUUCUUUGUUACGUAGCAUCUCAUAAUUAACUAACCCCUAUUAUAUUUUAUAAUCGAAACCAUCACAUAUUAUAUAUGUACAUACAUUUAGUCUAAACCACUAAAUAUACUACUUUCACACCACCAUUAGAUACAAACACUAUAUACAAACAUUAUAUAUAUGUGUAUAUGAUUAGUUUAAACCACUAAAUAUACCACUUUCACAUCUUCUUGUGAAGCAAAACAACUUCUCCAUUUCUAUAUAUAUCAUCACCUACAUGAACAUAUUCCCCAAGUAUCGUCAUGUUCACACCACCAUGCGGGUAAGCUAGACAUUGUUUAAACCACCACUCACCAAUCUGAGAAAUCAAAGAUCAUAACAAGAUUUUAAUGAUCCAUAUAAUCAUUGACAUCUAUUAUUUAAAUGGGUCAUCACAUUCAUCACAACAUUAUAGCAAACUUACAUAUAGCAUUUUCAUCACAACAUUUUAAGGAAUUAAUAUACAUGUAUUAAUUAACCCUAAACCCAAAACUUAAAAAUAUAUAAUACCGAACAUAUAUCCAAAAUACAUAAAUAUACCAAAUAUACCAAAAACACAUUUUGGAUACCUUGGGUACCUAAUCUGGUCUCGAGUAGGAUUCAUAUAUACUCAAACCGAGACAUGCGGGUCCAAAAAAAAUACCUAAUUAGUACUUUGUCCUUAACCCAAAUCUGAACCAAACUUUUAUUUUCGAGCCGGUUUUGGUUCAGUUUUCUGAUCCAGGUAAAAUGCUUAUGCCUAAUAGAGAAUUACAUAAGAUUGUACAUACAAAAUUCUAAAUAAACUAAUUAUAUAAUUAUAUAAUUUAAAUUUUUUUCUUCUUUGAUAUAAUACGAUUUUGUAGUAUAAUAAUGUAUAACAAUUUCAAAAUAUUAGUAUAAUAAUGUAUAACACUUCAAAAUAUUAAUUUAUAUCAAAAUUUUGUUUAUAAAAAAAAAACCCCGCGUUUUCAAAGCGCGGGUCAAAAUCUAGUAAUAUGAUUAUAACUAAUCAUUUUAGUUAUUUUAAUGUUUUGUAUUUUUUUGAAUACUUAUUCGGUUUUGGUUCAGGUCAAAAUUGGUAUUGGUUCUUUGGAUAUAACAAUUUAUGGUUCGAGUAUUUAUGCAUGUGUCCAAUCAGAUUCAAUACUUUGAUUUUUGAAUCGAUUUUAAGUCGGUUCUUUGGUUUGGUAUCUUGUCCAACCCUAAUUUUACCCUUAAUAUGAUAUUGGUUCUAAUAAAUAAGUCGAAAUGUCAUAUUACUUAAAGUGUAUAGUUUCUGAAGAUAGAGACAAAUCAAUAAGCAAUAUGAACUAACUAUUUAUUUUAUUUUGUUUAACAAAAAACUUAGUAAACAUUAAUCAAAUUUAGGCGAAAUUACAACUCAGAUGCACCUUAUUUCAAAGUUUUGUAUAUGUUAAUCUACCGUAAAGAGUUUAAGGCUUGAGUAAUCCAGAAACCAAUCAUUAUUAUGUCUUUACAAUUACGGUUACUUGUCUAAAUGAAAGAGAAGUAAACAAAGUGAAAAAAGGUAAAAAAAGUGUAUCAAGCAUUGUAACACAAACGCCACGAAAGCUCAGGAAGAAGCUCAUUUCUUUGGCUUCACUGCAGAGUAUAUAUAAAAAGGUGAGAAGAAAAAGAUCAAAGAAGAUGGUGAAAAUCAGGAUUACAUACACCCACUGAAGUGGAUAACAGGCUCUAUCUGUGUAUAGUGGUCGGAGGUAAUGAUGGUGGAACAUAGGAAGAGGAGAAGAUGACGACGCUAGAGAUGACCUAGAUGCUGGAUAGAUUUUAAUAUUAAUCCAAUGAUUAAGAUUUGUUUAAUGUAAAUAUAUCGGUCAUCAAAUAAAUAUAUAUAACAGAUGCUACAUUUUAAAUAGGACUCUAUUUUAAUAGAUUACAUAUACAUUGACAAAAAAAAAAGAACUUAUUAGAUCUACUUAAAUCUCAUCAUCUUAGCAUGUGACUGUUAGAAAAAUGACAAUCAUGUCACUAUAUAAUUAUUGAAUUGAUUUUAUCAACUUUAGAUUUAUUUGUAUAUAUAUGGCCAAUAAUUUAUUAGAUCGUGAGUGCUAACAACACGUGCUGUGAUUUUCCACCACAAGAGGAAGUGUCAGAGACAGACCGAUAAAGAUCUUUUCCCAAUGGUGUAACGACUUUUCCUUGAAACCAAGGUUUAUUAACUUCGGUCCCCACAAUUAUAUAAGGAAUUGGUGUAGAAUCCUACUUUGGAUAGACAACGACAUAAUAACAUUAACAUUAUUCAAUUUUUGUUUGACGGAAAAAAACAUAAUAUAUGUUUCUAUAGAAUCCAUCUGGAUGCCACUAAGUUGUAAGUUAGGUUUCAGGAAAUCGAAAAUAGAUAUACGGAAAGAAAACAUUUCCAAAUGUAAAAACGUGAUAUUUAUUUUUUUUAAGAAAAACAAACAGAAACAUUUUAGAAACAUCUAUAUAUACACAUACACACACAAUUGAUUUAUAUAUGAAUUAUUAUUAUUAUUUUCUAUAUAGUUUAUCUAAGAGAGAAGCCCAUUAAUAAAAAGUAUUGUUUCUCUUUGUAAUUUAUAUACUUUUUAUCAAAGAGUAAAAAAUACCGACAAUGUUAUCAUUCCAUAAAACUUAUCAAAAUAAAAAAUAUUUUUCUAUAUUUAUUAAUUAUUGAGAAAUUAGGGGGCAUGACCAUAAAAAACAAGAAAUUAAGUGUAUAACCAUUAGAAUCGACAUGGCUAUUAUAUAUUAUAUAAUGUUUUGUAAUUAUCCGAAAAUAUCCUUAUUUACGCGUGGAAAGGAAAGUAGAUAGUUUUCUUUUUCUGUUUAACUAGGAAAUUAAAAAUGCAGUUUUUCUGUUAAAACACAAGCAUGCGAGAUAGAAAACAGAAUUUUGAAAUUGCAAUAGAGUGUGUAAGAAGUGGUCGCGAAUCGCAAAACAGUGUUUCCGAGCUUUGUGAGGCGGCAAUCAAAAAGUUAGGGUUGCAGAUAAGUUGACAAAUCAUUAGUUUCGGAUGAAUCCAGAUUUGCAAUUAAAUUGUAGCCGUUGUUCCGGUGUGAAGGGAGUAACUGAGGAAGAGGAAAAAUGUAAAAUUGGGGAACUACAUGCAUGAGUUGAAUAUUUUAGCAUGAAAACGGGAACUAACCAAGUGUAAAACUAUCUAUUGAAACAUCUGAUGGAGAACAUAUGGUUGUGGGAUUGGGUUGUGGGGGACACAAUGAAUAGUGAUUUGUAAGA
Molecule: long non-coding RNA, 5542 nt
Organism: Brassica rapa (field mustard)
Lineage: Eukaryota; Viridiplantae; Streptophyta; Magnoliopsida; Brassicales; Brassicaceae
Source: RefSeq, a predicted model, not a curated record